RNAcentral lists this ribosomal RNA (425 nucleotides) under uncultured bacterium. RNAcentral describes it as "bacterial SSU rRNA". It matches the Rfam family "Bacterial small subunit ribosomal RNA", at positions 354 to 796 of the family's 1533-position model. The record is from RNAcentral.
GUGGGGAAUAUUGGACAAUGGGCGCAAGCCUGAUCCAGCAAUGCCGCGUGUGUGAAGAAGGUCUUCGGAUCGUAAAGCACUUUCGACGGGGACGAUGAUGACGGUACCCGUAGAAGAAGCCCCGGCUAACUUCGUGCCAGCAGCCGCGGUAAUACGAAGGGGGCUAGCGUUGCUCGGAAUUACUGGGCGUAAAUGGCGCGUAGGCGGCUCUGUGAGUCAGGCGUGAAAUUCCUGGGCUUAACCUGGGGACUGCGCUUGAUACUGCAGGGCUUGAGGCCGAGAGAGGGUGGUGGAAUUCCCAGUGUAGAGGUGAAAUUCGUAGAUAUUGGGAAGAACACCGGUGGCGAAGGCGACCACCUGGCUCGGUACUGACGCUGAGGCGCGACAGCGUGGGGAGCAAACAGGAUUAGAUACCCCGGUAGUCC